UGCGUAGGCGGAAUAUUAAGUCAGUGGUGAAAUCCUGCAGCUUAACUGUAGAACUGCCAUUGAUACUGGUAAUCUUGAAUUUAGUUGAGGUGGGCGGAAUGUGUAAUGUAGCGGUGAAAUGCUUAGAUAUUACACAGAACACCGAUUGCGAAGGCAGCUCACUAAACUAACAUUGACGCUGAGGCACGAAAGCGUGGGGAGCGAACAGGAUUAGAUACCAUGGUAGUCC
RNAcentral lists this ribosomal RNA (229 nucleotides) under uncultured bacterium. Its description in RNAcentral is "partial 16S ribosomal RNA". It matches the Rfam family "Bacterial small subunit ribosomal RNA", at positions 568 to 796 of the family's 1533-position model. The record is from RNAcentral.